RNAcentral lists this ribosomal RNA (465 nucleotides) under uncultured bacterium. Its description in RNAcentral is "bacterial SSU rRNA". It matches the Rfam family "Bacterial small subunit ribosomal RNA", at positions 36 to 518 of the family's 1533-position model. The record is from RNAcentral.
CUGGCGGCGUGCCUAACACAUGCAAGUCGAGCGAGGAGAUUCCUCGGGAUGAUCCUAGCGGCGGACGGGUGAGUAACACGUGGGCAACCUGCCUCAUAGAGAGGAAUAGCCUUCCGAAAGGGAGAUUAAUACCUCAUAACAUUGCAGUUUCGCAUGGAACAGCAAUUAAAGGAGUAAUCCGCUAUGAGAUGGGCCCGCGGCGCAUUAGCUAGUUGGUGAGGUAACGGCUCACCAAGGCGACGAUGCGUAGCCGACCUGAGAGGGUGAUCGGCCACAUUGGGACUGAGACACGGCCCAGACUCCUACGGGAGGCAGCAGUGGGGAAUAUUGCACAAUGGGGGAAACCCUGAUGCAGCCAACGCCGCGUGAGUGAUGACGGCCUUCGGGUUGUAAAGCUCUGUCUUCAGGGACGAUAAUGACGGUACCUGAGGAGGAAGCCACGGCUAACUACGUGCCAGCAGCUGC